UUCAUCAUCACACUCUCUAUUUUCUUCUCCCUAAAACAAAGGCGUAAGUUUUGGGGGAAAUAAAAUAGAUAAGCAAAAUAUAAAAUAAAAAUCAAGAAAUCAAAAGUGGAGAUUUUUUUAUUUGUGGGGAAUGUUGUCUGGCUCGAGGAAAUCUUCAAUCCUGAUCAAUUUUUUUUUAUACAUAUUUUUAUAGUAAUUACUAUAUUGUUACAUAGAUCUAUACAAUAUUUAUGAUAGAUCUAUGAAUUUUUGAUUAUAUUGUUGGGUGUCGUCGGACCAGGCUUCAUUCCCCUCAAAGAUUAUAUCUACCACAUAAUUAAUUUCAGAUCUUUACAAGAGUAUCUGGACACUAGCUACUUCUAGCCACAUUGUAUAGGAAAAAGUACUAGCUGGAGUAAUUUUAUUUUGGUUUGAAUAUUGUUUAAUAUUUGGUGAUUGUUCUUUUUAUACUAAUAUUUUUUAAUUUUUUUUGUGCAAAUAGGACUAGGUUUGAUUGUUCUUGUUGCUAUUAGAUUUGAGUCCUUAAUGAAUACCUAAGAGUAAUGUUGUUUUAUAUA
Molecule: long non-coding RNA, 557 nt
Organism: Solanum tuberosum (potato)
Lineage: Eukaryota; Viridiplantae; Streptophyta; Magnoliopsida; Solanales; Solanaceae
Exons: 2
Source: RefSeq, a predicted model, not a curated record